Molecule: ribosomal RNA, 441 nt
Filed under: uncultured bacterium
Lineage: Bacteria
Description: partial 16S ribosomal RNA
Rfam family: Bacterial small subunit ribosomal RNA
Source: RNAcentral
CCUACGGGUGGCAGCAGUGGGGAAUAUUGCACAAUGGGGGGAACCCUGAUGCAGCGACGCCGCGUGGGUGAAGGAGUAUUUCGGUAUGUAAAGCCCUAUCAGAAGGGAAGAACAAUGACGGUACCUGACUAAGAAGCACCGGCAAACUUCGUGCCAGCAGCCGCGGUAAUACGAAGGGUGCGAGCGUUGUUCGGAAUUACUGGGCGGAAAGGGAGUGUAGGCGGAUAUGUAAGAUAGCGGUGAAAUGCCGGGGCUCAACCCCGGAACUGCCAUUAUGACUAUGUAUCUAGAGUAAUGGAGAGGAUAGCGGAAUACCCAGUGUAGAGGUGAAAUUCGUAGAUAUUGGGUAGAACACCGGUGGCGAAGGCGGCUAUCUGGCCAUUUACUGACGCUGAGGCUCGAAAGCAUGGGGAUCAAACAGGAUUAGAUACCCUAGUAGUC